GACGAACGCUGGCGGCGUGCUUAACACAUGCAAGUCGAACGGAAAGGCCCUGCUUUUGUGGGGUGCUCGAUUGGCGAACGGGGGAGUAACACGUGAGUAACCUGCCCUUGACUUUGGGAUAACUUCAGGAAACUGGGGCUAAUACCGGAGAGGAGCUCCUGCUGCAUGGUGGGGGUUGGAAAGUUUCGGCGUUUGGGGAUGGACUCGCGGCUUAUCAGCUUGUUGGUGGGGUAGUGGCUUACCAAGCCUUUGACGGGUAGCCGGCCUGAGAGGGUGACCGGCGACCUUGGGACUGCGAUACGGACCAGAAGCGUAUGGUAGGCAGAAGUGGGGAAUAUUGCACAAUGGGCGGAAGCCUGAUGCGGCAGCGCCGCGUGCGGGAUGCCGGCCUUCGGGUUGUAAACCGCUUUCGCCUGUGACGAAGCGUGAGUGACGGUAAUGGGUAAAGAAGCACCGGCUAACUACGUG
RNAcentral lists this ribosomal RNA (468 nucleotides) under uncultured bacterium. Its description in RNAcentral is "partial 16S ribosomal RNA". It matches the Rfam family "Bacterial small subunit ribosomal RNA", at positions 28 to 507 of the family's 1533-position model. The record is from RNAcentral.